UUUAAACAAUGGUAAAAUGUCAAGUCUCAAACAAACAAGGAUCCUGACGUUAGUUCGAGCUAAAUUAGACUGUUCCCGUUAGAUAUACUUUACCCUGUGGUAUGUACAACAUAUCCGAAAUCAAGUAUGUCUUACCAUCUACUCAUUACCUAAACUCCCAAGCAUCUUAGGAUCAACAUGUUACUACCUACCGGUCCAACAUAAGAAGAUUGACGAAAUGUCUAAAAAGAAAGAAAUACUAAUAGAACACAUCUAGGGUUCAAUAACUCUGACAUUAGUGUGGUACCUUCCGUUACUUUAUGUAUGUACUAUGUAAUAGAAAAACAUGGCUCCAUCUCGUCGUUAGUAAAAUAAACGAGAGGAAGAGAAUAAACGACAGAGCACGGGUAGUUCCGUCUCGUCACUCGAUAAACUUGGUAACGAUGGGUCGAUCUCUCCUCAGCGCGGGGGACCGCGUGUGGGCACCGCAAGAAAAAACAAAGUAAAUAGUUUAUCACUACCAUGUUUAUAGCUUAAGGACU
RNAcentral lists this ribosomal RNA (521 nucleotides) under Triticum aestivum (bread wheat). RNAcentral's name for it is "partial small subunit ribosomal RNA". The record is from RNAcentral. Lineage: Eukaryota; Viridiplantae; Streptophyta; Magnoliopsida; Poales; Poaceae.